GUUGGAAACAGUGGCUAAGACUGGAUAGGAAGAUAAAAGGCAUCUUUUAUCUUUUAAAAGACCUAGUAAUAGGUAUGCUUUAGGAGGGGCUUGCGCCAUAUUAGUUAGUUGGUAGGGUAAUGGCCUACCAAGACGAUGAUGUGUAGCUGGACUGAGAGGUUGAACAGCCACAUUGGGACUGAGACACGGCCCAAACUCCUACGGGAGGCAGCAGUAGGGAAUUUUCGGCAAUGGAGGAAACUCUGACCGAGCAACGCCGCGUGAAUGACGAAGUACUUCGGUAUGUAAAGUUCUUUUAUCAAGGAAGAAAAGCAAAUGGCGAACCAUUUGUUUGCCGGUACUUGAUGAAUAAGCCCCGGCUAAUUAUGUGCCAGCAGCCGCGGUAAGACAUAAGGGGCAAGUGUUAUCCGGAAUUAUUGGGCGUAAAGGGUGCGUAGGCGGUCUAGUAAGUCAGUGGUGUAAUGGCAACGCUUAACGUUGUCCGGCUAUUGAAACUGCUAAACUUGAGUUAGAUAGAGGCGAGUGGAAUUCCAUGUGUAGCGGUAAAAUGCGUAAAUAUAUGGAGGAACACCAGAGGCGUAGGCGGCUCGCUGGGUCUUAACUGACGCUGAGGCACGAAAGCGUGGGGAGCAAACAGGAUUAGAUACCCUGGUAGUCCACGCCGUAAACGAUGAGUACUAAGUGUCGGGUUAAACCGGUACUGAAGUUAACACAUUAAGUACUCCGCCUGAGUAGUACGUACGCAAGUAUGAAACUUAAAGGAAUUGACGGGACUCCGCACAAGCGGUGGAUCAUGUUGUUUAAUUCGAAGAUACCCGAAAAACCUUACCAGGUCUUGACAUGUUUUUGCAAAAUGAUAGUAAUAUCGUGGAGGUUACCAGAAACACAGGUGGUGCAUGGUUGUCGUCAGCUCGUGUCGUGAGAUGUUAGGUUAAGUCCUAAAACGAGCGAAACCCUUAUCGUUAGUUGCCAGCACGUUAUGGUGGGGACUUUAACGAGACUGCCAAUGAUAAAUUGGAGGAAGGUGAGGAUCACGUCAAAUCAGCAUGCCCCUUAUGACCUGGGCUACAAACGUGAUACAAUGGCUGUUACAAAGGGUAGCUGAAACGCAAGUUCUUGGCCAAUCCCCAAAAACAGUCCCAGUCCGGAUUGAAGUCUGCAACUCGACUUCAUGAAGUUGGAAUCGCUAGUAAUCGCGAAUCAGCAUGUCGCGGUGAAUACGUUCUCGGGGUUUGUACACACCGCCCGUCAAACCACGAAA
RNAcentral lists this ribosomal RNA (1261 nucleotides) under Medicago sativa' phytoplasma FD01. RNAcentral's name for it is "bacterial SSU rRNA". It matches the Rfam family "Bacterial small subunit ribosomal RNA", at positions 149 to 1409 of the family's 1533-position model. The record is from RNAcentral. Lineage: Bacteria; Bacillati; Mycoplasmatota; Mollicutes; Acholeplasmatales; Acholeplasmataceae.